UCUUGUCACAUGCGUGCACGUCCGCCCGGGCUCGCACCAGCAUCUUCGUGCAAGCUAGCAUGCCCUCGGCCGCUGCCGAGUGCAGCGGGGUGACCGCGGAGGUAGUAGAGCUGAGAGAAAGCCAUGAUAGAUGCACUAAUUCUGACCAUAAUGUGUGCAUUACGACACAAAUGCAGCAUGUAUUCCUUCCACUCCACAUCGUGUGUCAGUAUCGUCCAUCUCAGCAGAUAACUGAAAUAGUGUAUUCCAGCUAUGAAAUACUAAAUCGUCGUUGGGGAGCAGUUAUUUAACCUGACAGUGAUUCAACAAAGAAUAAAUUCAAAGUGUACAAAGUGCACCAUACACGUUGACAUCAGCGCCGCGGUCCAGCAGGUACUCGAGGCAGGCGGAGGUGUUGGGUGAGCUCUGGGUGGACAGGACCAUGUGGACGGGCCGUCUGCCCUGACCACAGCCGCCGUUGAUGUCCACGAGGCCGGAUUCCAGGAGCAGCUUUACGCACGUCAACUGACCGUGGAGACAGGCCACGUGGAGCGCAGACACACCCUGGAGACCGGGAGAGAAGCGUCAGAAACAUAAGAUAAUCAAAAACACCCGCAAUUACAGCUGCCACCGCGUGUUUCAGGCUGAGGGUCAGCCAUUCGGGGUCCCCAGCCGCCGCCGCUUUGAACUGGUCGUCUUUCGGAAGAGCUCUGAUGAGACUCGUCAAGGGCUCCACGGGUCCGACGGCCGUGAGAGACCCUGAAAAGGGCGAGGAAAAACGCAGGCCUGGAAAAAAAACGGCAAGUAGCGGAGGAAAUAAAAGGACAAAAACACACAACAGCCCCUGCGACAGUGAAUCCAAUCAUAACAAGAAGGAGCCGUUGAUGGCGGACAAUCGACGGAUAAACGCGGCAUCUGUCACACAAAAAGAAUCCUCCUACUUUGGACAAAUAGUCUAACUGAAUGGUGGUGUGUAGUGAAAGAAUAUUCUCUUUUUGUAUGUGUUUUGUAUGAAUAAGAAAAGCAGCAUUUUAACAAUGCCGAAGGCAAAGAGGUCAAAUUGUUUAAAUGAUUAGAAACAUCAGCGCUGGUGCAAUAGGCCUACUUGAGUUGAGCGGCCAUUUUCCUCAAUGGGAACCAAAACAUACUUUUGAGAUUUUCUGGAAAGAAGUUCUCCAAAUUGCCCUCCGCCCACUUUCCGAAAUGUGACUAAUCAUAAGCUUACUCGGGGGCUAACGGCAAGGCUGUUGGACUGCUAAUUAUGGGAUGUCAGGAAUAAGCCUGCAGUAAUAAAAAACAC
Long non-coding RNA from Gadus chalcogrammus (walleye pollock), 1279 nucleotides. RefSeq lists it as uncharacterized. The record is from RefSeq and is a predicted model, not a curated record. NCBI's taxonomy places the organism in Eukaryota, Metazoa, Chordata, Actinopteri, Gadiformes, Gadidae. The transcript is spliced from 3 exons.